Molecule: transfer RNA, 81 nt
Filed under: Armillaria gallica
Lineage: Eukaryota; Fungi; Basidiomycota; Agaricomycetes; Agaricales; Physalacriaceae
Rfam family: tRNA
About the family: Transfer RNA (tRNA) molecules are approximately 80 nucleotides in length. Their secondary structure includes four short double-helical elements and three loops (D, anti-codon, and T loops).
Source: Rfam by way of RNAcentral
GUUGGUAUCGAUUAGGGGUUAAAUCACUUCGUUGUGGAACUCAACUCCGAAGAGCCGCUGGUUCGAUUCCAGCUACCGACA